Molecule: unclassified non-coding RNA, 4800 nt
Filed under: Pomacea canaliculata
Lineage: Eukaryota; Metazoa; Mollusca; Gastropoda; Architaenioglossa; Ampullariidae
Description: sCY1-like protein 2, transcript variant X6
Source: RNAcentral
GGGACCGCUGGGCCAAAAUGCACGCGGAAAUGCAAUUUUAAGUCCUUUCCUGCCCAGACACAAAACUCUUUGGGCAAAAAUUAGAAGCAUUAUCUCCAGCAAAAUUUUAGGAAGAGAAUCACGACAAGGAAAUGCAGUGCUUGCAAGUAUUUGCUUCCGUGAGUUGAGGUUUGUAUUGAUAUCCACAAUUAUCAUACCGCAGCCCUUAAAUCUCCAUCCUUCCAUCCUGCAAGUGGAGCCAUGCCACCAGACCUUACAUUAAUUGAAUAAUGCGUGGAGCUGCUGUUGACAACCAGACGACAAGACCUACCAGAACAAUUUUUUUUUAAAAGCGUGCUCUGCGCAUGCGUGGUACUGCCUUCUUUCCAUGUCUGUGACUUUAAUGUGUCUUUGACGCGCCUGUAUGCGACUCUCGUCAACGAACGAGGCGGCUGUGUCAGCGCUCGCAGCACGGAACGGAGGGCGAGAUCUUCCAUCCACUCCCCGCAGUCCCAGAGUUGCGUUUGUCGUCGUCGGGCCUUGCGGCAGUCGCAGCAGCUUGGUUGGCAGGCGGCACCCGCCCGGUCUUUUUCUUCGCUGGUCUUGGCUGCUGUCGGCACGCACAGGAACUCUGCGAACGUUGCAGCGGUGCUUAGCAGCUGUUGCGGGACGUGCGAACCAACGGUUCUUUUUUUUUUCGCCCUGCGUCUUCAACUUCUGUGCCAAAGGCUAUCCUCCCUCCCCUACCCCCCACGGUCACUCCCUUCCCCAUGAUCUGCUCCGUUUUGUCCUCCUCCUCCUCCUUCUCCUCCCCCUCGAUCCCUCCCUUCAUCUUUUGUGGCGGGUGUCGUAGCGGUGGCGCUGGCGUUGUUCCUCUACAUGCAGGUGCACAGGACAGCGCGCGUGUUGCACGUGCUGGCCUGUCCGGCGCCGUCGUGACGUUUGGCGUUGUGGCGGUUGUACAGUUGGCUACAGAGAUACAUCACGUGCAGAGUCACAGAGAGAAGGACCUCACGCGCACACACCUACUUCUCUGCUCCACCAACGUCCUGUCCACCUGAUGCGCUCAGCCAAUCCGUGGAUUUGUUUUUAAACUAAAGACUGAAGUUUACCCAGUUUAUCGUAUCAUGCAGGUUUACCUGUUCGGACUGUCCAGUGUGAAGGAAUGCGAAGUAGCUUGAAGGACCAGGGGAUGGAGUCUCCAUACAACUGAACGACCCAAGACUGUGUCCGUUAUGUAACCGCGUUCUGUCAGCUUCCAAAACGUUUGUUGCUGGGACUGUCUUCCGUUUCUUCUCCGGAGUUUCAGAAGGACGUAAAUGAAAUAAAACAACGGUAACCAUAACCUGUGCUGCUGUAGCUCGAGAGACACAACAGACCACCUGUUGGAAUGUGCAGACCACCGCCUCUCAGGUGAGAGACUGGCACAUCAGUGCCAGGUGAGACUGGAGUGACGUGCGUGCUUACCUGGUGGUGAAGUGACGUUCGUGUUCAACUGGCCUGUGCACCGGGGCUCAGCAUCCCAGACCUCCUUAGUAUGUUACAGUCGUAGUUGAGUCGGAUUGUGUGAACGUGAGUGCAAAAAAACAAAACAAAAAAACUACUGAAAUUGUUUAAAUCGUUUAGUAAAACGAAUGGGAGACCUGUUUGCGCAGACACUUUGUGACACGUGACACCUUUCCCUCAAAGAAGGAGUGCGCAGAAGAAUACAACCGUCUCGGCGAGAACAAAGGACACGGUUGAGACAGAAAAUUGCAGCAACGGUUAGCUUGACGGGAGGAGUGACAGUCUCAGAGCUUGACACUAGCAGCAGCGGAGAUUGCAAUCGCUGCAGCAGCAGCAGCAGCAUCCUUCCCACCUACACAGGUUGUCUGCCGGUUGAUGGCGCGUCGUCUCUGAUCACAGUGAUCAGUUUUGUGUGAACAUUUCUGUGUGAACAGCUCCACGUAACCAGCGAGAGGUUGCGGGGGAGGAGGAUGUACCUACCUGUCGCAGGAAACUCCAAGGAGCACCAGAACAUGGUUCAAUUCUGCUGCUUUAAUGUGCUGGCUGAGGUCUCGCCACUUUGGGCCACACACUUCACCUUGAUCCACACCUGCGUGUAACAAAGCAGCCGCCACUCGCCGCAGUCGUCGUCGCUGUUGCUGUUGCAGUCAAUGUUGGAGCACACCAGACAAGGGGAGCGCAACGGGAAGGCCGUGGGAUGCAGCGACUCGCGACGAUGUAGACCGUGGACCUGUACAAUGGAUGUCCUCUCCAUGCUCAAGCACACCAUCAUCUCCAAUGAUGUCAACCCCAUCACCAACUACUUCGACCUCGGCCGCCAGACGGGCAGCGCUGGGCCUGAGCUGGCCUGGAAGAUCUUCGAGGCCGUACGCAAAGAGGAUAAAAAGGAGGUGUCGGUGUUCCUGUUCGAGAAGAAGAUCGCUGACAAGCUUCACAAGCCCAGGCGAAGGGACGUGGUGACGGAGGUACUCAAGAAGGAGCCCUGGUACCUGGAGAGGUUUCGCCACCCGCAGAUCCUUGGACUCGUGCACGGCAUCGAGGAAUGCCACGACAGCAUCGCCUUCGCCACGGAGCCGGUUCUUGCCAGCCUGGCUAACGUCCUGGGAAACUAUGAGAGGCUGCCAGCGAACAUUCCUCAGGAAAUCAAGGAUCACGAUUUUAUCGAGAUGGAGAUCAAGCUAGGAAUUCUCCAGAUAGCCGAGGCGCUCAGUCACCUGCACAGCACGGAGCAGCUUAUUCAUCGCAACGUCAACCCUCAGUCCAUUCUGCUCACCUACCGCGGCGUCUGGAAACUCGCCGGCUUCUACUUCGCCGAGAAGAUUAAAGACGGCAAGGAGUCGUCUCCAGUUCAGCCGUGGACCAACAAGGUGCCCAAGAUGGCGCAGCCUGACCUCAACUUUUUGCCACCGGAAAUGCAGCUGGGACGCACUUGCUCGCCUCUCUCGGACAUGUUCUCCCUGGGCAUGGUGGUGUGCGCCAUCUACAACGCCGGCCACUCCCUCAUCGCCGCCGACCACAACCCAAACCUCUACGUGAAACAGCUAGACCAGAUGCACGACAUGUUCGGGGUGGUGGCCCACAAGAUGCCCAUGGCGCUGGUGGAGCCGGUGGAGAAAAUGAUCAACAAAGACCUCCGCUAUCGACCUUCUGCUCACCUCUUCUCACUUCUCAAGUAUUUCAACGACACGGUUGUGAUCAAUCUCCACGCCCUGGCCUGUACAGAUCGCCGCGAUCCUGCUGGCCGAGCUGAAGCUUACGUGGGUCUUUCCCAGGUCAUCCCCAACAUACCCAGGAAGGUGCUAUACAAACACGUGCUGCCGACUGUGGUGGACGACUGCAAGAUGUUCGACUCCAUCAUCUACGCCUUGCCCACACUGCUCACCAUCAUCGACUUUGCCACGCGCGACGACUACUGCGACCUCAUCCUGCGAGACUUCUGCACCGUCCUGGGCAUGCCCAAGCCUGUACAGGCCACAGUCUACAUCUUGAACAAGCUGGACAUUAUCCUGACCAAGACGCCCCUAGAGGACAUUCGGACAGAGAUUCUGCCCAUGGUCUUCAACACCUUGGAUUCCUCCUCCCUCCAAGCACAGGAAGCAGCCAUAGCUGCUAUUGGAGUAGUCAAGGAGUACCUGGACGACAAUAUUUUGAGAAAAAUGGUGCUGCCUAAAGCUAAAUCCCUCUUUUUUCGCUCCACGAACGUGAAGAUGCGGAUCAACGCCCUGUCGUGUGUCGACCAUCUGCUGGAGAGUCUGGACAAGAUGCUCAUCCUUGACGACGUGCUGCCCUUCCUAACAGACAUCACUUGCCAGGACCCGGAUGUCAUCGUCACGAUCGUUAGUAUCUACAAGCACAUGCUUAGUGACAAGCGCUUUGGGUUGACACAUAACCUGCUGGCGACAAAGGUGAUGCCAUCCCUGAUCCCACACACCGUCAAUCCAGGUCUCAACAUGGAACAGUUCAGCUCCCUGAUGGAGGUAUUGCGGGACAUGCUGGAGCAGGUGGACAAGCAGCGACGCAACAAGAUGAAGCUGGAGACCGUUACCAUCCCCGUCCCUCACAGAGGCUCAAUAAAAAUGCAGCCCGGAGAAGAGGGCAACGACUUGGCGGCUUUGCUGGAGAGCCGACUCCUGAACCAGUCCAAGAGCAAACCUGGUCCAUACUCGUGCACGCCAGCUCCCAGUACCCCAGAGCUGCAGCAACGUCCGAGAGGCAGCAGUCCCAAGUCUCAGCGAAAAAAUCACACUAUCCAGUCUCUAGGCAUGAGUCUGGAUGAGAAGAGCAGCCUGGACAAGCCCUUGGACAUGCAGCGCCGCCACUCCCUGGUGCCCCCGUCCUCAGGGUACGCCCACCAUCUCCAUCACCAGCGAGGACGCCCACAGCCCCGACCGAUCCCGCCGUCCCUCCACGCACAGCCUGGGGCCCUUCAGCGUAAGUGGCCUUACGGAGUACCUAAGCCAUCAUCGAGGGAGCGGCGACCGCUCGCGACGGCCGUCCACCCACAGUGUGGGCAUCCUGCCCAUCUCCAUGUUCGGGGAGGGCGGGGAGCGACCCCGGCGCCCCAGCACCCAUAGUUUGGGGGUCUUCCCCAUAAGCUGUUUUGGGGAGGAGGCCGGCGGAAAGGGCGAGCGACCUCGCCGACUCAGCACCCAUAGUCUGGGCCCACUGGUCGUCCCCGAGCUGGAGCGGCGAGCAGCAAAGGUAGCAUCCUCAGUUCCUUCGGACUGAGUGAAGGCCCGCCAUCCACACUGCAUCAACGCAGACGCCAGUUUCCAGGCUUUUGGAGAGAGCGUGAUGCAGCUGUUUGGAACCAAA